AACCAGCACCUCAAGUGGUCAGGAGGAUUAUUGGGCCUAAAGCAUCCGUAGCCGGCUCUGUUAGUUUUCGGUUAAAUCUAUGUGCUCAACGCAUGGGCUGCCGAAAAUACUGCAGAGCUAGGGAGUGGGAGAGGUAGACGGUACUCGGUAGGAAGGGGUAAAAUCCUUUGAUCUAUUGAUGACCACCUGUGGCGAAGGCGGUCUACCAGAACACGUUCGACGGUGAGGGAUGAAAGCUGGGGGAGCAAACCGG
This 253-nucleotide ribosomal RNA is filed under the name uncultured archaeon. Its description in RNAcentral is "partial 16S ribosomal RNA". It matches the Rfam family "Archaeal small subunit ribosomal RNA", at positions 474 to 727 of the family's 1478-position model. The record is from RNAcentral.